CUUAUCAAGAGUGGCGGAGGGACCGGCCCUGUGAAGCCCGGCAACCUGCAUUUGCGCAAGGUGCCAAAUCCGGCGGUUUGUAAUCGAAAGAUGAGG
RNAcentral lists this non-coding RNA (96 nucleotides) under human gut metagenome. RNAcentral describes it as "SAM riboswitch (S box leader)". It matches the Rfam family "SAM riboswitch aptamer (S box leader)". Rfam says of the family: The SAM riboswitch is found upstream of a number of genes which code for proteins involved in methionine or cysteine biosynthesis in Gram-positive bacteria. RNAcentral also lists the same sequence under 1 other name. The record is from RNAcentral.